AAAUGUUUCUUCUUGUUGACAGGCAAAUGUACACUCAUAUAUUCUUUGGAAUAUAUGUCUAUUGCUCAUGCUUCCAAGCAGGGAGAAAACCCAGGGAUCUUUUAACAGAUCAAGUUCAUCCAUUCUGUGACACAGAGCAAGUGCACACAUUUUACCUAGCCCAAAUGUCCUUGCUUCUACAUUCUCAGACCUUCCUACAAUGAUCAGAAAGUCUGAAGAGGGCAUCUCAUGUGCAGCUGAAACAUAACAGUCUGCUUGUGCUUUAAGAUCUUCCGGCUGCAUCUUUUGUAAACCACUUUGAGUCCCAGAUGGGGAACAAGAUGAGACAGAAAUACAUACCAUCAUCGUCAUCAUUACCAUCACCUCUACAACCAAUGGGAGAGGAGGCUUUUA
Molecule: long non-coding RNA, 393 nt
Organism: Sceloporus undulatus (fence lizard)
Lineage: Eukaryota; Metazoa; Chordata; Lepidosauria; Squamata; Phrynosomatidae
Exons: 3
Source: RefSeq, a predicted model, not a curated record